Molecule: long non-coding RNA, 1725 nt
Organism: Cervus hanglu yarkandensis (Yarkand deer)
Lineage: Eukaryota; Metazoa; Chordata; Mammalia; Artiodactyla; Cervidae
Source: Ensembl
CUCUGCUCACUCGGGUAGGAGUUUCGAGGCCAGCCUUCCGCCAGGCAGUUAUAUAGUUUGCCUGACUUCGGUUUCUGUUUCGAUUCUCUUCUUCAGGACUUUCCACACGUAAUCCGCUGGGCUGGGAGCGUCUGUUUGGUCGGGGAGGAGCCACCUUUUGGUCGGUUCUGGUAAGGACAGUCCUCUGGCCCUGUGGGAAACAGAAACGGAAAGCGAAUUCUCUCUUCCACGGAGUAAGACAGUAGCGCUUCAGCAAUGCCAGCGGGUAUUUUAUCGACUUUGCAGGGUUCUGCCUGAAAAUUCAGACUUCUCGCCCCGCGACUGUCUCGCACCACCCCUUGUCAGCUAAGAUCUGCAAGCGUGACUGGGGACUUCCCAGCCCAGAGGUGGAGAGAGAGAGACGGCCGCAGACCCUGAUGUCAACAGAAGUGAUUAGGCUCGACUGGAGAAUGCAGGCAGCCCCCAGCCCCGCCCGAGCGUGAGAUUACGGGGACAAGCAGAGAGAUGAUACUAAGAAGACAUCUUUUCGGAGAGAUGUAGCCCCCCAGGGUGAAGUGAGCUCUUUCCAGGAUAAACCUGCCCUCCUAUUGUACUGUUUAUUUGGCUUUGACCAAGGCCUGGUGACAGACGCGGAAGGACUUGAACUACCAACUCAGCUUAGAAGGAAGCCAAGACUGAAAGGUUUCUCUCUCCCAGUAUGUAAGUUCCCCAUAUUCUUUAAUAUACAACUUUCUUUAAUAAAACAAAACAAAAUCCCCAACAACUUAUUUUUGAUGUAGCUGCCAUUCUUUUCUUGGAUUCAAUACAGCAAGUUUUGGCUGAAGCAGCCAGGAACUUAAUUAGCAACUAAUGUACCAACUUGUAGUAAACAUCAACAUUUGUCUAUGUCAUGAGGAAAAAAAAGACACCCACACUGAAAAAUGGCAGCUUUGGUUCAGUACAGAAGCCACAUAAAUGUGAGUCCUUUGGGUUGCUACUCACUCUGGCAUUCUGCAGCCCUGGGUGACUAUGGGUGGUAGUUUAUGGGCUUCAUAAUGAGAACCUCAUGGUCCAGAAUUAUAUGGCGGUGGAAGGGGUCAUUUAGACCACUGAAAAGAUAUAUUUAGGCAAAGUAAUCGCUUCCCAGGUGGUGUAGUGGUAAAGAAUGCACCUGCCAAUGCAGGAGAUGCAAGAGACACUGGGUGGGGAAGAUCCCUGGGUCAGGAAGAUCCCCUGAGAAGGAAAUUUGCACCCACUCCGGGAUUCUUACCUGGAGAAUCCCGUGGACAUGGGUUAACAAUGCACAUUCAAUGAAGUUUGGAUAGGCCAGAGAAGUUUGGUGGUGUUUUGCACUGGGUAAGAGAAAUACAGAAUCUUUGUUUACUGGAGGCAUAGGAAAUAUCCAAUUCAAUACGUUAUAGUCUUAUUUUAUUUGCUAUGGAGGUAUAUUAUUUGCUAUAUUAUGUAGCUAGUAACAGCUUUUUUCUCCCUGGGAAUUGUAAUAUGCUUAAAGAAAAGACAUUUUUACACAGGACCAGUACAAUAUUCUGCAUAUAUGUAGGUCCUUGCUGAUUUUCCACCUGAAUGGGAAUUUUAUUGCCUUAACUGUAGCAACUGGCUUAAUGUCAAAACACAUAGUGAAAGUUGCUGAAGUGAAAUAAAACGUUGAGCUUGCAAGUGAGCCUGGUUUAUGCUUUUCUUUGCUAUCUCUUCAUAAAAUAAUACCAUAUCUUUAGUUACUUUGGG